This 361-nucleotide unclassified non-coding RNA is filed under the name Hibbertia acicularis. Its description in RNAcentral is "partial miscellaneous RNA". Lineage: Eukaryota; Viridiplantae; Streptophyta; Magnoliopsida; Dilleniales; Dilleniaceae. The record is from RNAcentral.
AAACGACGUUAUGCAUGAACGUAAUGCUCAUAACUUCCCUCUAGACCUAGCUGCUGUCGAAGCUCCAUCUAUAAAUGGAUAAGACUUUGGUCUUAAUGUAUAUGAGUUUUUGAACAUUAAAAGAAAGGAGCAAUAACAAACCUUAAGAAGAAAUUUGUUAUUGCUCCUUUCUUUAAUUUAGUAGUUUUUUCUGAUGUGAGUUUUUUUUUCUUUUUUUUUAGUAUUCUUACGGACUGGUUCAUUAUUCAAUAAUAUAUUUUUUUGUUUUGUAUUAAUUUAUAUAUGUUAUGCUUUAUGUUUUUUCAAUCUUUUAUUAAAAAUAAAGCAAAUAGGGGGSGGAUGUAGCCCMGUGGAUCAAGGC